Long non-coding RNA from Homo sapiens (human), 665 nucleotides. Ensembl annotates it as PRKG2 antisense RNA 1. Its record names the gene PRKG2-AS1. NCBI's taxonomy places the organism in Eukaryota, Metazoa, Chordata, Mammalia, Primates, Hominidae. The record is from Ensembl.
AUGCUUAGUGGAUUCAUCACCAUGUGUGGGGGCAGAAACUACUUCCACUCUUACCUUCCAUACUGCAUAACUGCCAGUGGCAAGAAUGAAAUAAGUUAAUCUAGAUAGACAACUUCUGCCUCACACUUAAGGCCCCAAAGGAACAAGAAUAAAAGCAAUACUUAGAUUAUCAGGAACUACAAUGCCAAUGAAGGAAUGACAACCAUCAUUGUUGUCAACAACAUGUCAACAACAUCAACAAAUAGAAAGCAUUCCUCCAUUCAUCACUCCUUCUGGGAAGAAGUAGACUAAGAGGUAAGAAGCAACUAAUUUUUCAUGGGAUUUGAAACUAAGUAGGUGAAUCUGAAGUCUGCGCUGCUUCCAUUCCAUCCCAUUGUCUCUUCUGAGGGAGAAAGCUUCUAAGGGAGAAAGCCUUUGGGGCUUGGAACAAAAGAAGCCAGAGUCUUUAGAGUACACACUCCGUACUUCCAUUAAAUAAAUUUCAACAACAGGUCAAAGCAUGUAUCUUGCAACCUUCUUUGAAUAAGGCUCAGUGCAAAGCUGGGGCCAGUGACCUUGACCUUCCUUCAUCCCUAUCUAUCAAGGAUUUUUUGUGAGCAUAAGAGGCAGCAACUUUACUUGUAUUUCAUUUCAUAGCUUAAUUAUAUCUACAUGCAAUUAGAAAA